UGGGCUUUAACUGACGCUGAGGCACGAAAGCGUGGGUAGCAAACAGGAUUAGAUACCCUGGUAGUCCACGCUGUAAACGAUGAUUACUAGGUGUGGGUGGACUGACCCCAUCCGUGCCGCAGUUAACACAAUAAGUAAUCCACCUGGGGAGUACGGCCGCAAGGUUGAAGCUCAAAGGAAUUGACGGGGGCCCGCACAAGCAGUGGAGUAUGUGGUUUAAUUCGAAGCAACGCGAAGAACCUUACCAGGUCUUGACAUCGAGUGACGUAUCUAGAGAUAGGUAUUUCCUUCGGGACACGAAGACAGGUGGUGCAUGGUUGUCGUCAGCUCGUGUCGUGAGAUGUUGGGUUAAGUCCCGCAACGAGCGCAACCCUUGCUAUUAGUUGCUACGCAAGAGCACUCUAAUAGGACUGCCGUUGACAAAACGGAGGAAGGUGGGGACGACGUCAAAUCAUCAUGCCCCUUAUGACCUGGGCUACACACGUACUACAAUGGUCGUUAACAGGGGGAAGCAAUACAGCGAUGUGGAGCAAACCCCUAAAAGCGGUCUCAGUUCAGAUGCAGGCUGCAACCCGCCUGCAUGAAGUCGGAAUGCUAGUAA
RNAcentral lists this ribosomal RNA (601 nucleotides) under uncultured bacterium. RNAcentral's name for it is "bacterial SSU rRNA". It matches the Rfam family "Bacterial small subunit ribosomal RNA", at positions 730 to 1341 of the family's 1533-position model. The record is from RNAcentral.